RNAcentral lists this ribosomal RNA (444 nucleotides) under uncultured bacterium. Its description in RNAcentral is "bacterial SSU rRNA". It matches the Rfam family "Bacterial small subunit ribosomal RNA", at positions 331 to 792 of the family's 1533-position model. The record is from RNAcentral.
CCAGACUCCUACGGGAGGCAGCAGUCGGGAAUCAUUCACAAUGGGGGAAACCCUGAUGGAGCGACGCCGCGUGGGGGAAGGAGCAUCUCGGUGCGUAAAGCCCUAUCGGCAGGGAAGAAAAAGACGGUACCUGACUAAGAAGCCCCGGCUAACUACGUGCCAGCAGCCGCGGUAAUACGUAGGGGGCAAGCGUUAUCCGGAUUUACUGGGCGUAAAGGGAGCGCAGGCGGCAUGGCAAGUCUGGAGUGAAAGCCCGGGGCCCAACCCCGGGAGUGCAUUGGAAACUGUCAGGCUGGAGUGUAGGAGGGGCAAGCGGAAUUCCUAGUGUAGCGGUGAAAUGCGUAGAUAUUAGGAGGAACACCAGUGGCGAAGGCGGCUUACUGGACGGCUACUGACGCUGAGGCUCGAAAGCGUGGGGAGCAAACAGGAUUAGAUACCCUGGUA